UAAAAAAAGGCAGCAGGUGUCCAAGG
This 26-nucleotide non-coding RNA is filed under the name Rattus norvegicus (Norway rat). The record is from RNAcentral. Lineage: Eukaryota; Metazoa; Chordata; Mammalia; Rodentia; Muridae.